GCCUACUACCAUCACACAUACUUAUGGAACUUCCACUAACCCCGCAGCCACUUGUGCAUGCUAAUCAUACAUAACGUUGGAUUCUAGAGACAAUCGUAUAGUUGAUUCUACCUUAAGCCAACAACAAGACAAGGAACAAGAAAUAAAGCUAAAUCAAACACUCUCAGACUAUAAAAUCUUAGUUCUAUACAACUAUGAUGCACACAUCAAGCAACUACAUUAAUGAUGUGAAUUCCAUCUAACAUACAAGAAAUUCUACUUGGAUAUCAGGCAUCGUACAUCAUAAAAUUCUAUCAUGUAAUUCGUGAAGAUCCCUAGCCUACUACUAGCAUAUUAUUAUAUGAUAAUCAUCGUAAACAAAUAACAUUGUGGGUAACUUGGGGUAUACUUUCCUACUCUGGCUGAUCGUACACAUCUCAUCCUUCUUUGGAUACUUUUGAAAAGAAUUUUGAAAACUUUUAUAGAUUCUUAGUUUGAGUCUGGAUUCACACGAAUGCUCAUCCAAUUCUCUCAAACCAGGGCUCUAAUACCAACUUGUAACAUCUCAAAAAUCACAAUAAAAUUUUCAUUUUUAAUUUAAAUAAAAAUCAUUGUUCCAAUCAAAACCCAAGUCAUAAAGCCAAGUAUCAGACACAAUUAUCCCAAAAUCAGAGUAUCAUAAAGUCUCCAAAAUAUAUCACUGAAGGAUGUGUACGGAUGGGUACAAUCACGCCUUUGCCUUUCCCCUAUCCUCUGAAGUACUUGAAACCAUAAAAUCAAACAUUAAGCCAAAGUUUAGUGAGUUCCCCAAAAGUAACACACACAACCAAACGGAUAACAACAUGAAUAUACGAGCCUUCAACAUGACUGGACUUCCUCGCAUGACCUAUAGCCUAUCAUGACCGCUCUUCGAGCCUUCAGCCUGACUAGACCGCCUUGUAGGGCCUACAACCUAUCCAGAUCGCUCUUUGGGCCUUCGGACUAACUAGACUGCCUUGUAGGGCCUAUAGUCUAUCUGGACCACCCCGGGUAUCUUGGCCUUCAACACAAAUAAGGACUUCCUUGUAGGGCCUACAACCUAUCUGGACCGCUCUUCGAGCCUUCAACCUGAUUAGACCGCCUUACGGGGCCUACAACCUAUCCAGACUGCUCUACGGGCCUUCGACUUGACUGGACUGCCUCACAAGGCCUACAACCUAUCCGGACCUCUCUACAGGCCUUGGCCUGAAUGGACCGCCUCGUAGGGACUACAGUCUAUCCGUACCGCCCCGAGUAUCUUGGCCUUCAGCACAAAGCAGGACCGCAUGAACCCAACAAUAAUAAUAAUAUGUCGACAUGUACAGUAACAUUCAGUAGCCAACAAAUACAGGUAAUCAUACAGAUCUACCAGUCUAUCACAUAUCUAGUAAACAUAGGUAAUUAUACAGAUUUACCAGUCUAUCAUAUAAGCAGCUUAACAUCAUCCAGUAUACCAAGAUACAUAAUCCAGUGGGCCUACGUUGGUGCCUUUGACCCACAAGUACAGUGAGGAAAACUCACCUCACAGUCCGAAUAUAGCUGAAUAGAUCACUGCCCCAAAUGUUGUCUCUACUGGUCACCUAUACAAUAAACAAUGACAUAAACUCAAAUUACUACUCAAAUUACCCAAAAUGCCUCUAAGUCAAAAUUAGUCAAACCCCUAAUCAAAGGUUAAAAGUCGAAGGGGGUCAACAUAAACUGAGUACGCCCUGCAUACUCAGUCAUUACGCUCAAUGUAGUAGAUCAUUUCCAUGUUAUGAGGCUCUAUCUUGGUACGUGCAACGUACCACCAGAUACACCCAUCGUACUCGACCAAUUCCAUUUUCAUCCAUUAAGUGCCUAAUCCAUUAAGAUUUCACGUCCAAAUAUCAUUCUAUGUCAUAAAGUUUCCAACUAUAUGAUUUUCCAUGGCUUGAAGGAGUCUAAAAACCAAAACCCUAACUUAAUACACAAACCAAAGCAUCAUAAAUCUUGCAUGGAGGGAAGAAAGGGACCAAAAUCACAUUUUUAUGGUUCCUAGCACUCACAAACGUCUGAAAGGACAACUCUUACGAUUUAGAGUAAGCCAUACUCAUGGAUACCAAGACUAUGGGGGCCAAAAUGCAUAAAACUUAAGAUCUAGCAAGAUCUAAGGAAACAUUCAUCAAGUUUAUAAUUUUAUACCUUCUGGAGGUUACUUGUAAGGAGAACAACUCAGAUCUACAAGGCUUGAAGCUUUCCAAAAGCACUCCAAAGAUCUUCUUCCUUCAAGGAUGGACACCAAACACACAAAUGGCUCAAAAACUCACAAAUAAACACUAGGGUUUGCCAUCGAUCGAUUUGGGAGGAUACAGACUAGAGGUGGAAAGGGUUAUGAGGGUUAAGGUAUUUUAAAUAGUGCUAAAACCCUAAAAUUAGGGUUUUCUCACCUGCCAAGUACGCCAAACGUACUCAUGAGUACACCUAGUGUACUCACAUACACCCGGGACCCUUUUUAACGAGCUAUGUCGUGCGUACACCCCAAGUACGCAUGACGUAAGGACCAUUUCACAUCAUAUUUAUAUUUUUGGGUUGAAAAGGAAAAAUAUCUGAUUCUGGGUUCUACAAAAACUACAAUGAAAUAUAUUUUGAUUCACAUGUAAAUUUCACUAAAUUAAUUUGUGAAUGAUCAAAAAUUGAAAUAAUAUAUCAGAUUCACAUUGUGAAUGCCAAAAAAUAAUAUUAUAUGCAGAUCACAUUCAUAGUGUGAAUCUGAUUCAUAGUGUGAAUAUGUUAACAGUUUGAAUAUGAUUUUGAGUGUGAAUCUAUUUAAAAAAAUGUGAAAAAAAAUAUUUUUUUUAUAUCGAUAUGAAUGCUAUUUAAAGACUACUAAAAAUUAUAAAUUUUGAUAUAUUUAUUUUAUUUUUUUCGAUAAAAAAAUAAAUGUAAAUAUUCAAAAAAUAACACAAUAAAGUGGAUUUUUUGAAAAAAAAUCGUUUAUAUAUAUAUAUAUAUAUAUAUCAUUACUAUAUAUAAAAGCCUGAUUUUUCUCCUGCCGCCAAAAUCAAAUUUAGUGGGUUUUCUAUCCGCCACGUAAUCUGCCUUGCGAACGACGCCAUUAACAUCAAAGUCGAUUCACCAUGGGAUGCAUCCAGUUCGUCUAAUUUUCUUUUUAAUUUUUGGGGAUCAUCAUAUAUGUUGGGGGACCCUGCUACCAAACGUUUUUCUUAGCAGAGGUGGGGGAUUUCCAUGAACCCGAUGAACCGAUGGGCUUCCCCUUUCCCCUUUUCUUUUAAGCAUAUUCGUGUUGCCCCUUCCCGUUUAUGUUUAUUCUUAUAGGGAAAUCUUUGGAGAUUUUCCCACAACCUUGAGUAAACUCAUUUUUCUCCUUUCGCUAAUAGUAAUUUCAGUUAGAUCAACGGACGCCACGUAACUUACUUCCUGAACGAUGCCAUGGAUAUUAAAGUCAUUACAUCGCCUUAUGUUCCACUAUGGCAUCAGGUGAAAGAUGGUGAAUUGGUGUUCUACACAAGAGUUUCAGAUAGAAGGGUAUAUAUGUCCUCUACUACCGUUUUUGCCUCCCAUUUUGCAAGAAGCCCUCCAGGAACACAUUGCUUCCAUCCUCAUGCCUGCAUCGUCACACCUGUUGUCGUUACCCUGUCCGGUGUACAACCACUCCUUAUCUUCUGUUUCUUUCUUACACUGCUCUUUUUCGAUUUUUUGUUCUUAGUGGCGACACCAUUCUUCACUACGUUUUUCGUUCUAAUAUUGAUGUGGUUUUGCAUGUCCAUGUCCACUUCCAUAUGAUUCCCACUCAUGCACCCUAAUCCUCCAUCACAUUUUUUUAUUUUUCUGAAAACCUCUGUUCAUCUUCAUCUUUGUUUUUGAAAUAAGGGUUUUCUAAUCUUGCUUCCUCUUCUGGUGUUGAUGGUGUAAUUUUUUUUGCCAAAUACUUUUGAUAAUCGAAAACAUUUUUUAUUUUAAUUUUUGUAAUUUGUCGAAAGGGUUAUGGGAUCUCAAAAUUGGCCUUAUUCAAAGACUGAUGCAGAGUUUUUAAUAUCUAAUUAUGCUUUAUAGGGAUGGGUUAAGAAUUGUAGGGGAGGAAGGAAAGCCGACUGCAACUCUAAUUACAGCGAAUUAAGAGUUGGGGGCAAACAAAAAUUUACCUUUCUACAAAAAUUUUAAGUGGGACCGUGAUUCAAAUCUACAUAAGGGAAUUACAUGUCGGUAAAUAGUAAUGACCAUUUCACUUUAUGAUGUGGUGAUUUGGUUCAUCUAUAGAGUAAGUUCAUGCCAACCCUAAAGUUUGAAAGUUAACUUGCAUUCCAGUUGUAUGUCUGUUUGAAAGAUUGCAUUGCAACCCAUUUUUUAAACUGACUAAUCAUUAUUUUGUGGUGUGGUUCCAGAGGAAGUCAAUGCGUAGAUAUUAUUUCUUAUAUAUUAUACAUUUUUAUCUUUAAUGAUGAAGGAUCCUUUUCUUGCCUCCAUCUUUGUUUCUGACAUGGCAAUGAAGAUGAAUGAAUUGCUAGGGACCGUAGACCAUAUGGAUCUUGUGAGAUAAGAUUUAUUAAAAAUGGAGAAACACCCACCAUUUUUUGAUCUACAAAUUUAAAAUAGAUUCCAAUGGGAUAGAUUUGGUGGAGUGAAAGGGCAUUUUAGGAAUUAAAGAACAUAGUUCUCUAUUUUAAGGGUAAGUGUUUAGGUUUUGAAGGGAAUAUAUUGUCGAUAUGUUUGGUGGUUCUAAUCCAUUUUUGGGUGUUUUGUUCAUUAACCCAUAAAAUAAUCAGGUAUAGCUAGGGUACUGCCAAGAUGAGGCAACAAGUUCAAAUUUUGUGUGUUAUGGUCUUCAAACUAGGUUUCUUGCUCUUCUAAAGGAGCACAACAGUAAGCAUGUCAUUCUGUCUAGCUUGCAGUCCCUUAGUAAUGAAGAUGAUAAGGUUUGAAUUUUCUUCCUUAGUCUUAGGUUUAGUUUGUUUAAAGUGUUAUUGAUUGGAAUUGGUGCAAUUUUUAAGACGUUAAUUAAUUCAUCCGCUUUAAUAAAUUCUAAAAAGUUCUUUGUUUAGGAAAUGUAGUCUUGAAGCAUAAUUACAUGAUGGACAUAGGUUGUUUGAAAGAGAAGUCAGACCUACUAUUGCAAUUAAAGGCAUUAUUGGCAUUUUGAACACCGGUAUUUUCUUAUCUAAUGGCAUUGUUUUAUAGGUUUAGGGCUAAUGCGUGCUUUUAGGGCAUUCUCUCUUCAAUUUUUGUAAAUUAAUCAUGGCUAGAUGAAUAAAAUGCAGGUAAUAUUACUUUGUUCUAGACCUUGUGUAACAUCCAAAAUUUCAAAACAAUUGAAACUUUUCAAAGUCAUCCAUUUUAUUAACGUUGUUACAAAAGGUUUUCAAUACAUUAUUAAACAGAGUAAUUUCCCAGGUUCAUAUCAUAAAACACCAAUGCGAGGAACGGUACGAUCACGCCUUUGCCUUGCCACAGACUCUUGAGAACCUGAAACAUAAAACCACAACUGUAAGCCUGAAAGCUUAGUGAGAUACCCCCAAUAUACCAAUCACAUAUACGCCCUUCUAGGCCACGACCUUCCGGUCCAUACAUAUCGCCUUCCGGCCCAUAACAUAUUGCCUUCCGGCCCAUAAGCAUAAAAUGCAUAGAUAACAUAACAAAUAAUCAUAUAGCAGUUCAUAGACAACAAUCGAUCAACAGAUCACAUAUCAUAGCAUUACUCUAACAAGAUACCGGUCUAGCCGGUCACUAUCAUAACCUUACCUUACGAAUCAGUCAACAUACUAAAUGCAUACAUACGCCUUUCCAGGCCAUGACCUUCCGGUCCACAUAGCAAUGCCUUCCGGCCCAUAACAUGUAAU
RNAcentral lists this long non-coding RNA (5813 nucleotides) under Lactuca sativa (garden lettuce). RNAcentral describes it as "long non-coding RNA (LSAT_LNC007960)". Lineage: Eukaryota; Viridiplantae; Streptophyta; Magnoliopsida; Asterales; Asteraceae. The record is from RNAcentral.